AACGUAGGUUCCGAGCGUUAUCCGGAUUUACUGGGCGUAAAGCGCGUUCAGGCGGUUUGGCAAGUCGGGCAUGAAAUCUCUCGGCUCAACCGGGAGAGGUUGUCCGAUACUGCUGGACUUGAGGGCAGUAGAGGGUGGUGGAAUUCCGGGUGUAGUGGUGAAAUGCGUAGAUAUCCGGAGGAACACCAGUGGCGAAGGCGGCAUCCUGGACCGGCAUUGACACUGAGGAGCGAAAGCCAGGGGAGCAAACGGG
This 253-nucleotide ribosomal RNA is filed under the name uncultured bacterium. RNAcentral's name for it is "partial 16S ribosomal RNA". It matches the Rfam family "Bacterial small subunit ribosomal RNA", at positions 524 to 776 of the family's 1533-position model. The record is from RNAcentral.